Molecule: non-coding RNA, 1565 nt
Organism: Misgurnus anguillicaudatus (oriental weatherfish)
Lineage: Eukaryota; Metazoa; Chordata; Actinopteri; Cypriniformes; Cobitidae
Source: RefSeq, a predicted model, not a curated record
CCUGUUGCACAAAAGUAGAAUUAAGACAUCCAGGCUAAAUGACUGAGCUGAGCUCAAUGAAGCCAAAACAAGUGCGUCCAGGCUUAAUUGGUUGCACAAAGACCAAGCCAGGAUGAUCAGACACGGAUUCAUCAAGCCAGGUGAAACCAAUCCUGGAUAGGUGCGCGCUCACGGAUCACUCAACUAGACCCCGCCACCGAUCACAGAUUCACCGAUUCACCAUGGCAACUAGCGGCGUUCUUUUCCCCGUCACAGGCGCAAAUCCAUACGAGGAGGUAAAAGACAUAAUUAAGAAGAAAGGCAACACCGCCACAGUGAUAAAGCAAAGAGAAAAAGCGUGGCAAAGUAUUGCAGACUGCCUGAAUGCGUAAGUAGUGCACAAUUACACACUCACCGCUCCGCUGAAACAUCAUAAUUACAAUUAAAAUAUUUAAUUCACAUCUCCAAAAACACAAUUGUACUCUGAUUAUGAAACAGUUAAUUUUUUUAUUGAAAUGGACUGCAAAUAUGAGUGAAAUUGUGUAAAGUAACUCCAUCACACUGGAUAAGGUUUCAAUAAAUUAUUAUGAAAGCUUACAUUAUUACUACGCUCAUUAUGUACUCUGCUUCUUAUGUUGUCCACCGUUGACUUUUUUCUGCUUUUAUUAAUGUAAAGCUGUUUGAAACAAUUGUGAAAAGCGCUUUAUAAAAAUAAAGAAAAAUUUAAUUGAAUAAAUAGAUGAGCUAUUAAUAAUAAUCAAUUUAAUUUAUAAAGCGCCUUUCAAAGGACCCAAGGUCACUUGCUCAUUGCACUGCAAAAAAAAUGACUUUCUUCGUGUGUUUGUCUUGCUUUCAGUUAAAAUAUCAAAAAAUUCUUAAAUUAAGAUGUAUUAAAAGUUUUCUUGAAAUAUAGUUUUUCAUAAACACUUAAUUUAAAACAAAUGUUCAUAUUCCAUUGGCUAAUUUCCUUAUUUUCCUAGGUCAUGUUGCUCAUCAAGAAAAUGCAUCUUAAUUUAAGGUUUUUUUUUUAUAUUUUUACUGAAAACAAGACAAAAAUACAAAGUAAGUCAUUUUUUGCAGUGUGACUCCAUUGAAUGUUCUUGUGUGAUAAAGAAAGUCUCUCUUUUUGUGUGUGGUGUGUGUGUGAUGUAGAUUAAAUAUGACAGGUCAAAAUCAAAUACAAGAACAUUCUGCAGAAUGCAGUGAAAAGAAUACCCAGAGACAAGGCACGGGUGGUGGGUCACCAAAAGCUCACCUCACCCCAGCAGAGGCCAGCUUUGGAGCUAAAUAAAGGCAGGCCUGUUGGAGGGGAUCCCUGGGGGAAAAGAGACAAGCAUAGGUCCCUCCCAAGAUGCCACCCGCUUCAUACAAGUGUCUGGCAGCACUGUGUUACUGUUAAAUCCACCAGCACGAGCACCAGACGAUGCUGAUCCAGUGAGUACUCCAUCAAAGGCAUACUAUAGGCCUGGUACGUCUUGUCUACUAGCUUCAAUAUGAAUCCGAUUAAAUGUGAUAGGGUCAAGGCCCCAUUUCAUCAGCACAUAACGGCGAUGAUGAUGAGGAGACCAUCUCUCUGGAUUCCAAAA